GCGUGCAGUCGAACGAAUCCCAUCUGGGUAACUGGGUGGGGGAAGUGGCGAAAGGGGCAGUAAGGCGUGGGCAACCUACCCCGGGGAUCGGGAUAGCCGUCCUAACGGACGGAUAAUACCGGGCGAUCUGGCGAGGAGGCAUCUUCUGGCCAGGAAAUGAAUUUCGCCUCGGGAGGGGCUCACGUAGUAUUAGCUUGUUGGCGGGGUAACGGCCCACCAAGGCCAAGAUGCUUAGCGGGUGUGAGAGCACGACCCGCGCCACUGGCACUGAGACACUGGCCAGACUCCUACGGGAGGCUGCAGUCGAGGAUCUUCGGCAAUGGGCGCAAGCCUGACCGAGCGACGCCGCGUGUGCGAUGAAGGCCUUCGGGUUGUAAAGCACUGUCGAGGGGGAGAAAAGCCCGCAAGGGUCUGAUCUAUCCCUGGAGGAAGCACGGGCUAAGUUCGUGCCAGCAGCCGCGGUAAGACGAACCGUGCGAACGUUGUUCGGAUUCACUGGGCUUAAAGGGCGCGUAGGCGGACGGUCAAGUCGGGGGUGAAAUCUUUCAGCUUAACUGGAAACGUGCCUUCGAUACUGAUCGUCUCGAGGGAGGUAGGGGCAUGCGGAACUUCCGGUGGAGCGGUGAAAUGCGUAGAUAUCGGAAGGAACGCCGGUGGCGAAAGCGGCGUGCUGGACCUCUUCUGACGCUGAGGCGCGAAAGCCAGGGGAGCGAACGGGAUUAGAUACCCCGGUAGUCCUGGCCCUAAACGAUGGGUACUAGAUUGUGGACUUAACAUGGGUUCCCAAUCGAAGCUAAAGUGUUAAGUACCCCGCCUGGGGAGUAUGGUCGCAAGGCUGAAACUCAAA
This 847-nucleotide ribosomal RNA is filed under the name uncultured Planctomycetota bacterium. Its description in RNAcentral is "bacterial SSU rRNA". It matches the Rfam family "Bacterial small subunit ribosomal RNA", at positions 53 to 905 of the family's 1533-position model. Lineage: Bacteria; Pseudomonadati; Planctomycetota. The record is from RNAcentral.